CGGCGACGAGUGGCGAACGGGUGAGUAACGCAUCGGAACGUACCCAGUAGUGGGGGAUAGCCCGGCGAAAGCCGGAUUAAUACCGCAUACGACCUACGGGUGAAAGCGGGGGAUCGUAAGACCUCGCGCUAUUGGAGCGGCCGAUGUCAGAUUAGGUAGUUGGUGGGGUAAAGGCCUACCAAGCCUUCGAUCUGUAGCUGGUCUGAGAGGACGACCAGCCACACUGGGACUGAGACACGGCCCAG
RNAcentral lists this ribosomal RNA (245 nucleotides) under uncultured bacterium. Its description in RNAcentral is "partial 16S ribosomal RNA". It matches the Rfam family "Bacterial small subunit ribosomal RNA", at positions 86 to 334 of the family's 1533-position model. The record is from RNAcentral.